UACGUAGGAGGCAAGCGUUGUCCGGAAUUACUGGGCGUAAAGCGCGUGUAGGUGGUGGGACAAGUCUGCUGUGAAAGCGCCUGGCUUAACCGGGCGAGGUCGGCGGAAACUGCCUCACUUGAGGACGGUAGAGGGGGGUGGAAUUCCCGGUGUAGUGGUGAAAUGCGCAGAUAUCGGGAAGAACACCCGUGGCGAAGGCGGCUCUCUGGGACGGUACUGACGCUGAGACGCGAAAGCGUGGGGAGCGAACAGG
This 253-nucleotide ribosomal RNA is filed under the name uncultured bacterium. Its description in RNAcentral is "partial 16S ribosomal RNA". It matches the Rfam family "Bacterial small subunit ribosomal RNA", at positions 524 to 776 of the family's 1533-position model. The record is from RNAcentral.